RNAcentral lists this ribosomal RNA (391 nucleotides) under uncultured bacterium. RNAcentral's name for it is "bacterial SSU rRNA". It matches the Rfam family "Bacterial small subunit ribosomal RNA", at positions 28 to 420 of the family's 1533-position model. The record is from RNAcentral.
GACGAACGCUGGCGGCGUGCUUAACACAUGCAAGUCGAGCGGUAAGGCCCUUUCGGGGGUACACGAGCGGCGAACGGGUGAGUAACACGUGGGUGACCUGCCCUCAGCUCUGGGAUAAGCCUGGGAAACCGGGUCUAAUACUGGAUAUGACUCCAUGACGCAUGUUGUGGGGUGGAAAGCCUUGUGCGGCUGAGGAUGGGCCCGCGGCCUAUCAGCUUGUUGGUGGGGGAUGGCCUACCAAGGCGACGACGGGUAGCCGGCCUGAGAGGGCGGACCGGCCACACUGGGACUGAGACACGGCCCAGACUCCUACGGGAGGCAGCAGUGGGGAAUCUUGCGCAAUGGGCGAAAGCCUGACGCAGCGACGCCGCGUGAGGGAUGACGGCCUGGU